RNAcentral lists this ribosomal RNA (254 nucleotides) under uncultured bacterium. RNAcentral describes it as "partial 16S ribosomal RNA". It matches the Rfam family "Bacterial small subunit ribosomal RNA", at positions 524 to 776 of the family's 1533-position model. The record is from RNAcentral.
UACGUAGGGUGCGAGCGUUGUCCGGAAUUAUUGGGCGUAAAGAGCUCGUAGGCGGUGUGUCACGUCGGCCGUGAAAACCUGCAGCUUAACUGUGGGCGUGCGGUCGAUACGGGCAUCACUGGAGUUCGGCAGGGGAGACUGGAAUUCCUGGUGUAGCGGUGGAAUGCGCAGAUAUCGGGAGGAACACCAGUGGCGAAGGCGACUACCUGGCCUGUUCUUGACGCUGAGGCGCGAAAGCUAGGGGAGCAAACGGG